GUGCUCACUUUGGCAGCAAAUAUACUAAAUUUGAAACAGUACAAAGAAGAUUAGCAAGGCCCCUGUAAAAGGAUGACAUGCAAAUUUGUGAAGCGUUCCAUAUUUUU
Molecule: small nuclear RNA, 107 nt
Organism: Manis javanica (Malayan pangolin)
Lineage: Eukaryota; Metazoa; Chordata; Mammalia; Pholidota; Manidae
Source: RefSeq, a predicted model, not a curated record